CGCGUAGGCGGCCUAUUAAGUCAGUUGUUAAAUACCAUGGCUUACCCAUGGAAAGGCAAUUGAUACUGGUGGGCUGAGAGGGCAAGAGAGAGAAGCGGAAUUCUCGGAGUAGCGGUAAAAUGCGUAGAUCUCGAGAGGAACACCGAUGGCGAAGGCAGCUUCUUGGCUUGUACCUGACGCUGAGGCACGAAAGCGUGGGGAGCGAACAGGAUUAGAUACCCUGGUAGUCC
This 230-nucleotide ribosomal RNA is filed under the name uncultured bacterium. RNAcentral describes it as "partial 16S ribosomal RNA". It matches the Rfam family "Bacterial small subunit ribosomal RNA", at positions 568 to 796 of the family's 1533-position model. The record is from RNAcentral.